This 253-nucleotide ribosomal RNA is filed under the name uncultured bacterium. RNAcentral describes it as "partial 16S ribosomal RNA". It matches the Rfam family "Bacterial small subunit ribosomal RNA", at positions 524 to 776 of the family's 1533-position model. The record is from RNAcentral.
UACGUAGGGGGCAAGCGUUAUCCGGAUUUACUGGGUGUAAAGGGAGCGUAGGUGGUUCGGUAAGUCAGAUGUGAAAGCCCGGGGCUCAACCCCGGGACUGCAUUUGAAACUAUCGAACUAGAGUGCAGGAGAGGUAAGUGGAAUUCCUAGUGUAGCGGUGAAAUGCGUAGAUAUUAGGAGGAACACUAGUGGCGAAGGCGGCUUACUGGACUGUAACUGACACUGAGGCUCGAAAGCGUGGGGAGCAAACAGG